This 423-nucleotide ribosomal RNA is filed under the name Triticum aestivum (bread wheat). Its description in RNAcentral is "partial small subunit ribosomal RNA". The record is from RNAcentral. Lineage: Eukaryota; Viridiplantae; Streptophyta; Magnoliopsida; Poales; Poaceae.
AUGUUUAAAGAUGUAUGUGUCGAUGUUGUGCGGUCUGGCCGUACCGAAGCUGAUGAGGACAUGACUACCUUGGAUACGACCAAAAAUAUUGCAUACAUGCAUAUUUGUCAGGUGAUUUCUAGUGCAAACUAUUCAAUAAUCUAUUUAUGUUAUCCAGAACAAAAAUACUUCACAUACUUUUGUGUUUUGUCUAAUUGCAUGUGUAUGGGACAUUUGUACAAUCCACAUAUGAAGAUAAGGGAAAAGGAGAAGUUUAGGUUUUGUUCAAAAAGUGCUCUCACGUCACUUUUGGGCCAAGAGAAGAUAGAGUCCAAGUCUCUCAUGUUCUGGAUUCACAUUCGGACUGCACAGACAUACCUGACUCAAAACGUCAACAACUUUUUCAUACAGACUCCGAAUUGGGUGAUUCUUUUUUUUUGUUGA